This 407-nucleotide ribosomal RNA is filed under the name bacterium. Its description in RNAcentral is "partial 16S ribosomal RNA". It matches the Rfam family "Bacterial small subunit ribosomal RNA", at positions 355 to 776 of the family's 1533-position model. The record is from RNAcentral.
UGGGGAAUAUUGGACAAUGGACCGAGAGUCUGAUCCAGCAAUUCUGUGUGCACGAUGAAGUUUUUCGGAAUGUAAAGUGCUUUCAGUUGGGAAGAAAAAAAUGACGUUACCAACAGAAGAAGUGACGGCUAAAUACGUGCCAGCAGCCGCGGUAAUACGUAUGUCACAAGCGUUAUCCGGAUUUAUUGGGCGUAAAGCGCGUCUAGGUGGUUAUGUAAGUCUGAUGUGAAAAUGCAGGGCUCAACUCUGUAUUGCGUUGGAAACUGUAUAACUAGAGUACUGGAGAGGUAAGCGGAACUACAAGUGUAGAGGUGAAAUUCGUAGAUAUUUGUAGGAAUGUCGAUGGGGAAGCCAGCUUACUGGACAGAUACUGACGCUAAAGCGCGAAAGCGUGGGUAGCAAACAGG